This 1126-nucleotide ribosomal RNA is filed under the name Clostridium sp. C37. RNAcentral describes it as "bacterial SSU rRNA". It matches the Rfam family "Bacterial small subunit ribosomal RNA", at positions 183 to 1350 of the family's 1533-position model. The record is from RNAcentral. Lineage: Bacteria; Bacillati; Bacillota; Clostridia; Eubacteriales; Clostridiaceae.
AUUUCCCUUGAUUUUUUAAAAGCUAAGCGGUAAAGAUGACCCGGUCCAUUAGUAGUGGUAGGUAAGGCUCCCAAGCGACGAUGGUAGCCGCCUGAGAGGUGAUCGCCACAUUGGAAUGAGACAGGUCCAGAUUCUACGGGAGCAGCAGUGGGAAUAUUGCACAAUGGAGAAACUCUGAUGCAGCAACGCCGCGUGAAUGAUGAAGGCUUUCGGGUCGUAAAAGUCUGUCCUCAAGGAAGAUAAUGACGGUACCUGAGGAGGAAGCCCCGGCUAACUACGUGCCAGCAGCCGCGGUAAUACGUAGGGGGCUAGCGUUGUCCGGAUUUAUUGGGCGUAAAGGGUGCGUAGGCGGUUUUUAAGUCAGAUGUGAAAGAUCACGGCUCAACCGUGGUAAGCUUUUGAAACUGAAAAACUUGAGUUCAGGAGAGGAAAGUGGAAUUCCUAGUGUAGCGGUGAAAUGCGUAGAUAUUAGGAGGAACACCAGUUGCGAAGGCGGCUUUCUGGACUUAUACUGACACUGAGGCACGAAAGCGUGGGGAGCGAACAGGAUUAGAUACCCUGGUAGUUCACGCCGUAAACGAUGAGUUCUAGGUGUUGGGGGUUACCCCCCUGUUCCGCGCAGCAAGCACAAUAAAUUCUCCUCCGCGAGAGUAUACUCCAGAGAGGAACUCAAAAGGAAUUGACAGGGGAGCCGCACACAGCGUAGGAGCGCAUGGUUUAAUUUGAAGGAACGCGAAGAGACACUUACCUUAACUUGACAUUCCUUUUGCCGUCUUACUGAUAGCAUUUUUCCUUUGGGGGCCAGGGGUGACAGGUGGUGCAUGGUGUUGUUCAGUUGGUUUCUUGAGAUGUUGGGUUAAUUCCCGCAAGGAGCGCAACCUUUCCCUUUAGUUGCCACCAUUAAGUUGAGCACUCUAGAGGGACUGCCGGGGAUAACUUGGAGGAAGGUGGGGAUGACGUCAAAUCAUCAUGCCCUUUAUGUCUAGGGCUACACACGUGCUACAAUGGUUGGUACAAAGAGCAGCCAAGUCGCGAGGAGGAGCUAAUCUCUUAAAGCCAAUCCCAGUUCGGAUUGUAGGCUGAAACUCGCCUACAUGAAGCCGGAGUUUCUAGUAAUCGUCAGAUC